Molecule: small nuclear RNA, 165 nt
Filed under: Salvator merianae (Argentine black and white tegu)
Lineage: Eukaryota; Metazoa; Chordata; Lepidosauria; Squamata; Teiidae
Description: U1 spliceosomal RNA (ENSSMRG00000014680.1)
Rfam family: U1 spliceosomal RNA
About the family: U1 is a small nuclear RNA (snRNA) component of the spliceosome (involved in pre-mRNA splicing).
Source: Rfam by way of RNAcentral
AUACUUACCUGGCAAGGGGAGACACCAUGAUCACGAAGGUGGUUUUCCCAGGAUGAGGCUCAUCCGUUGCACUCUGGGUGUGCUGACCCCUGCGAUUUCCCCAAAUGCAGGAAACUUGACUGCAUAAUUUGUGGUAAUGGGAGACUGCAUUCGCGCUUUCCCCUG